AUACAGUUAGGUGUGCUGGCAGCUGGCAGCAGAAGGAGGGAGAAAUGUUUCCUGCUAAAAUGCAGGGCAUUAACAGAUAGAAACAAAUUCAAAACCUUUCCCCACAUUUAAGAAGGAGAAGACCACAAAUAUUCAAAGAAAUGGCCACUUUCGAGAUUACUUGGAUGCCACUGAAACAGAAUUCAUCACAGCAAUUCAACUGUUCAUCAAUUCAGGGAAAAGCCACAAUUCAUCAGUUCAAUUCCAAAAAUGGGUUGCCAGUUUGCUCCCUGGCAAAAUGUUUGUGGAUUAUGUUUGGGCUGUUGAGGGUUUCAAGCCUUUGCCUACAGCGACACCUGAAGCUCCUGAUGGCAUAUAUCAAUUGCCACCUUUCUACACGUACCAUGGAGAUCUGUACUAAAGAAGGUGUUGGCAUCUCUUCCUGUUUUGCACUAUGCCUAAGAAAGGAUGUGAACCAAG
This is a long non-coding RNA of Podarcis raffonei (Aeolian wall lizard), 459 nucleotides long. RefSeq lists it as uncharacterized. The transcript has 4 exons. NCBI's taxonomy places the organism in Eukaryota, Metazoa, Chordata, Lepidosauria, Squamata, Lacertidae. The record is from RefSeq and is a predicted model, not a curated record.